GCAUGGGUUUGGAUUUGUGGCAGGUCGAUCCCAUGGGCCACUCACAGUGUCCCAUGCCAAAGCAUACUGGAACCCCGAACCAUUGCCUAGCUUUACCCCAUGGGCUUCAGGCACUGAAGCAGUUUGCACAGUG
Molecule: small nucleolar RNA, 133 nt
Organism: Echinops telfairi (small Madagascar hedgehog)
Lineage: Eukaryota; Metazoa; Chordata; Mammalia; Afrosoricida; Tenrecidae
Source: Ensembl